RNAcentral lists this ribosomal RNA (478 nucleotides) under uncultured bacterium. RNAcentral's name for it is "partial 16S ribosomal RNA". It matches the Rfam family "Bacterial small subunit ribosomal RNA", at positions 28 to 523 of the family's 1533-position model. The record is from RNAcentral.
GACGAACGCUGGCGGCGUGCUUAACACAUGCAAGUCGAACGGUAAGGCCCUUCGGGGUACACGAGUGGCGAACGGGUGAGUAACACGUGGGUGAUCUGCCCUGCACUUCGGGAUAAGCCUGGGAAACAGGGUCUAAUACCGGAUAGGACUCCGGACUGCAUGGUCUGGGGUGGAAAGCUUUUGCGGUGUGGGAUGGUCCCGCGGCCUAGCAGCUUGUUGGUGGGGUGAUGGCCUACCAAGGCGACGACGGGUAGCCGGCCUGAGAGGGUGACCGGCCACACUGGGACUGAGAUACGGCCCAGCCUCCUACGGGAGGCAGCAGUGGGGAAUAUUGCACAAUGGGCGCAAGCCUGAUGCAGCGACGCCGCGUGAGGGAUGACGGCCUUCGGGUUGUAAACCUCUUUCAGCAUCGACGAAGCGAAAGUGACGGUAGGUGCAGAAGAAGGACCGGCCAACUACGUGCCAGCCGCCGCAGUAA